RNAcentral lists this long non-coding RNA (766 nucleotides) under Marmota monax (woodchuck). Lineage: Eukaryota; Metazoa; Chordata; Mammalia; Rodentia; Sciuridae. The record is from RNAcentral.
AAAGGCUUAAUUAGCAUCUUGUCACUGUUAACUAAAUACAAUUGAAUGCAUUUUUAGUACUUAUUUAAUGUAAAAAAAAAAAAACCUUCAGCUUAAAAAAAAUCUGUCAAAUAAGUUUCUUAGAAAUUGUUUUAUAGCCUAUCCACGUAAUAAAUUUCAAGCCUAACACUGGAAGAGAUGUCAGAAGAUUCAGAAAAGGAGGACUAUUCAGACAGAACAGUCAGUGAUGAAGAUGAAUUAGUAUGUUUUUCUCAAAUUUUAUUUUACUUAAUUUGAGAUAAAAUGUUACAAAAUAUAUAUUCCCAAUUAAAAUAUUACAAAAUCAAUUGUAUGUUUAAAUCAUUGUCAUGGAAGAUGGGACAUAAUUCAAUAGAAAAAGUAAGCUAUUACUCUGUGCAGUAUGCCCUAUUUAGAAAGCAAAACUAUAUGUCUUCUUAAGAAAAUAAUUGUGAUUAUUAUCCUGGGUUUUGUUAUCUAUUAAAUCAUUGGGUUUUAUUUUUGUAAUUCUUUUUCCACUUAUUUCCUUUUGUGUACUAAUUCUGUAGUGUUACAUCAUAGAAUAUGGUGCUAGAACCCCGAUAGGUUUAAUGUGUCUAUGAUAUCACAAAAGAAAGAAUAUGGAAGAAGGAAAUGGGAGAGAAAUGUAGUGUUUAAAAACAUUUUGUCUGAUCCUUGUACACAUUUCUGAGAUAUUCCUUUUAACUUUUAUUAUAGUAAAAAAUUAUGUAAAAGUAAGCUCCCCCAAAUAAAGUAUAACCUCUUAGUC